UUAAUUAAGUUUGUAUUUUAAAUUUGGGUUCUAAUUAUUGUUUUGCAUCUUGUGUGCCAUUGCUUUGGUGGAAAGGCAGGGUCUGAAUCAAAUAAACAAACAAAUAAAUACCAUUUUGAUUCCUUUAUAGCAACUUGCCAACUCUAGAUACAAGCAUAUUCAGGGUUUAAGCCCCCAAAGUGGCAUCCGUGUUACCAUUCAGGGUGGGCCGAUUUGUGAUAAGACCUCAUCCUCUUACAACAGUCAAGCCUGUAAAAUGAGCAUACAGUCUUCUUCAUCACAGAGCAGUAGUUCUUAUGGCUCUCAGGGCGGAAGCUCUGUUAUAGUUGGCAGCAGUGGCUCCUCCCCUUCAGUUGGUGGCGGUGGAACCACUAUUAAAAUCAUCAGUGGUGGAUCGCCGUCUUCAGUUGGUGGUGGCAGUGGAACCUCUUUUGGCAAUCGUGG
Molecule: long non-coding RNA, 444 nt
Organism: Elgaria multicarinata webbii
Lineage: Eukaryota; Metazoa; Chordata; Lepidosauria; Squamata; Anguidae
Exons: 6
Source: RefSeq, a predicted model, not a curated record